Molecule: ribosomal RNA, 465 nt
Filed under: uncultured bacterium
Lineage: Bacteria
Description: partial 16S ribosomal RNA
Rfam family: Bacterial small subunit ribosomal RNA
Source: RNAcentral
CCUACGGGCGGCAGCAGUGGGGAAUAUUGCGCAAUGGGCGAAAGCCUGACGCAGCGACGCCGCGUGAGGGAUGAAGGUCUUCGGAUCGUAAACCUCUGUCAGCAGGGAAGAACGGUCACUGUGCUAAUCAGCAGUGAAUUGACGGUACCUGCAAAGGAAGCACCGGCUAACUCCGUGCCAGCAGCCGCGGGAAUACGGAGGGUGCGAGCGGUAAUCGGGAUUACGGGGCGUAAAGCGCACGUAGGCGGUAUGUCAAGUCAAGGGUGAAAUCCCCGCGAUGAACGUGGGAACUGCCUUUGAAACUUGCAAACUGGAGUGUGUGAGAGGAUAGUGGAAUUCCAGGUGUAGGAGUGAAAUCCGUAGAUAUCUGGAGGAACAUCAGUGGCGAAGGCGACUAUCUGGCACAUAACUGACGCUGAGGAGCGAAAGCGUGGGUAGCAAACAGGAUUAGAUACCCGUGUAGUC